CAGUAGCCGCGGGAAUACGGAGGGGGCUAGCGUUGUUCGGAAUUACUGGGCGUAAAGCGCACGUAGGCGGCUUUGUAAGUUAGAGGUGAAAGCCUGGAGCUCAACUCCAGAAUUGCCUUUAAGACUGCAUCGCUUGAAUCCGAGAGAGGUGAGUGGAAUUCCGAGUGUAGAGGUGAAAUUCGUAGAUAUUCGGAAGAACACCAGUGGCGAAGGCGGCUCACUGGCUCGGUAUUGACGCUGAGGUGCGAAAGCGUGGGGAGCAAACAGGAUUAGAUACCCCCGUAGUCCCUGUCUCUUAUAC
This 301-nucleotide ribosomal RNA is filed under the name uncultured bacterium. RNAcentral describes it as "partial 16S ribosomal RNA". It matches the Rfam family "Bacterial small subunit ribosomal RNA", at positions 509 to 807 of the family's 1533-position model. The record is from RNAcentral.